UACGAGGGGGGCAAAUGUUGUUCGGAAUCACUGGGCGUAAAGGGAGCGUAGGCGGGUUUCUAAGUCAGGUGUUUAAUCCCGGGGCCCAACCCCGGACAGGCACUUGAAACUGGGAAUCUUGAAUAGUGGAGAGGUCAGUGGAAUUGGGGGUGUAGCGGUGGAAUGCGUAGAGAUCCCCAAGAACACCAGUUGCGAAGGCGGCUGACUGGACACAUAUUGACGCUGAGGCUCGAAAGCGUGGGGAGCAAACAGG
This 253-nucleotide ribosomal RNA is filed under the name uncultured bacterium. Its description in RNAcentral is "partial 16S ribosomal RNA". It matches the Rfam family "Bacterial small subunit ribosomal RNA", at positions 524 to 776 of the family's 1533-position model. The record is from RNAcentral.